Molecule: unclassified non-coding RNA, 637 nt
Filed under: Hevea brasiliensis (rubber tree)
Lineage: Eukaryota; Viridiplantae; Streptophyta; Magnoliopsida; Malpighiales; Euphorbiaceae
Source: RNAcentral
AAAAAGGGAACGGCCCAACAUGGAGAUGGUAGAAACAAUUCCAGCCACAUAAAAAAACAUAACCAAUCCAAGAACCCAAGGCAUCAAUAUGAACCCAAUAAAGAAGGUCAGCGAUCCACAAAGCAUCAAAGCCAGAGAAAUUCCCAGCAUCAACGACGCGAACCCCGCCGGCGAGAUCUGUGGCGGCGCCGAUGACCUCCUCCUAGAAUACUCUGAUGGAAUCUCCGGGGAUUGGUCAGAGAAAGGGAUCGGCGACGGCGGCGAACGAAGCAGAUUGAGAACCAGAGCUGAUAGCUCGUCGAAAAUCCUUGAUUGUUGAUCUUGCUGCUGACUACUCAUCAUUCUAAUUUCCUUUCUCGAAGGGAAAAAAAAAGGAAUAAAACCCAAAAUAUAACCAAAUAAAAUUUUUUGAAAAAUCUUUAAAACUUAAUCCGCUUGUAAAACUUUCAAUUUGUUACUGCUAAAACGAGGAAAGUGGAUAAACACAAAAACCUCUAUCUACCACGCCGGUUGAUUGGAGAGGAAUUUCUCAAUCUAUUUAACCUUCGGCACUGCACUUUCCGAUAGGCUGAGUUUUGUUUGUUGCUCAGGAAAUUCUUUGACAGUUUUAGAGAGAGAGAGAAAGAGAGAGAGAGAG